RNAcentral lists this ribosomal RNA (253 nucleotides) under uncultured prokaryote. Its description in RNAcentral is "partial 16S ribosomal RNA". It matches the Rfam family "Bacterial small subunit ribosomal RNA", at positions 524 to 776 of the family's 1533-position model. The record is from RNAcentral.
UACGGGGGGAGCAAGCGUUGUUCGGAUUUACUGGGCGUAAAGGGCGCGUAGGCGGCGCGGGAAGUCAACGGUGAAAGCUUGGGGCUCAACCCCGAGUCGGCCGUCGAUACUCCCGUGCUUGAGCACUGUAGAGGCAGAUGGAAUUCCGGGUGUAGCGGUGGAAUGCGUAGAGAUCCGGAAGAACACCGGUGGCGAAGGCGGUCUGCUGGGCAGUUGCUGACGCUGAUGCGCGACAGCGUGGGGAGCAAACAGG